RNAcentral lists this non-coding RNA (21 nucleotides) under Caenorhabditis elegans. The record is from RNAcentral. Lineage: Eukaryota; Metazoa; Nematoda; Chromadorea; Rhabditida; Rhabditidae.
UUAACCGUCGUUCAUUAUAUU